Molecule: ribosomal RNA, 503 nt
Filed under: uncultured Verrucomicrobiota bacterium
Lineage: Bacteria; Pseudomonadati; Verrucomicrobiota
Description: bacterial SSU rRNA
Rfam family: Bacterial small subunit ribosomal RNA
Source: RNAcentral
UGGGGGAUGAAUGGCUUCGGCCGUAAACCCCUGUCAUUUGCGAACAAACCUUGCUAUUUAAAAGAUGGCAAGCUGAUUGUAGCGAAAGAGGAAGGGACGGCUAACUCUGUGCCAGCAGCCGCGGUAAUACAGAGGUCCCAAGCGUUGUUCGGAUUCACUGGGCGUAAAGGGUGCGUAGGUGGUCGGGUAAGUCUGAUGUGAAAUCUCCGAGCUUAACUCGGAAACUGCAUCGGAUACUAUUCGGCUUGAGGGUUGGAGGGGGGACUGGAAUGCUUGGUGUAGCAGUGAAAUGCGUAGAUAUCAAGCGGAACACCAGUGGCGAAGGCGAGUCCCUGGACAACUCCUGACACUGAGGCACGAAAGCUAGGGGAGCAAACAGGAUUAGAUACCCUGGUAGUCCUAGCCGUAAACGGUGCACGUUUGCUAGUAAAAGGAAUCCGACCCCUUUUGUGGCGAAGCUAACGCGUUAAACGUGCCGCCUGGGAAGUACGGUCGCAAGAUUA